RNAcentral lists this long non-coding RNA (1215 nucleotides) under Cyanistes caeruleus (blue tit). RNAcentral describes it as "lncRNA (ENSCCEG00000020608.1)". Lineage: Eukaryota; Metazoa; Chordata; Aves; Passeriformes; Paridae. The record is from RNAcentral.
ACCUCAGAUUUGGAGAUCUGGCACCCAUCAGCUGCUGGAUACCCACAGAACCUCCUCUUCCACAUUGCAAUUCCCCUGCAGAGUGCACCAAGCAUGGCCCUUGUGCCUCCAGGUUCCAUGGGCCAGCUCGGAGAGUUCCCUUGGCUGCAAGGAGAAGUCAUGGCUGGGACUCAGCUGGCCUCUGAUCGCCUGCAGGUGUUUUCCAAAAUAUCCUUGGAAUUGGAGCCUGCCUGACACAUCUGCCUGAUGCUUCCCCAUAACAACUUUCCAGUUCCAGUGAUGCUCUUUGGAUUCGCAGUCCAAGCACAGCUAUGAGGAACCUGGAGAAAUGGUUGUCUUGGACUGUGGAUGCCCCCAGCGAGUUUUGUGAAACACAUCAGAUCAUCAGGAGUUCUGCUUCCCCAAGCCGUGGAAAAUCCAAAACCUGGUGAAAUGUUCCAGCAGACCAAGAGUUUCACCCCAGGUGGGUCCAGCACGGGAGCCACGUUCACCUCAAGGCUCAAUUCUACACAAGGAUUGUUCUUCCAACUCUUCGCUGUGUGCUGGCAAAAUUCCAAGUCAAAAAGUCAUGGAAUGUGUACAGAAUGUUUAGGGACUUUGUAUUCCCUGGUUCCAGAGUUUUUCAGGAUCAAAGCAGCUGCUGGUUGCUCAGAGCAAAGGCUGUUGUUGUUGUUCUUGAUUUGUCACUUCCCAUCUUGGGAACACUUUAAUUCUCCAAACCUAAAGGAACUCAGCUAAAUCAAAUUAAUAGUGGACUUUUAAUACAUUUAAAUGAAAUGGAAGACAAAUUUCUUCAGUGCAGAGAAGAAUCAAACAACUUUCUCUUCAUAGCAUUAGGAACAAUACUUUAAGUUCCUUUUCUGUCAGCUGCCUUUUAAUUAGCAGCACUUCAGCACAGUUCUGACAUGUCAAACCCACCUGGGAUUGUUCUUCAUCUCAAAAAAUGGGUGCUGCAUUUUUCCUGCUCCAGCUGCAACUUUAACUGCUGUAAUCACUUGAUGAGUAACCUCGAUAUUGGGAGUGACAGAGGCCUUUAAUGGUUUAAUAACUCAGAGGAGCCCUGGCUUUUGAGUGAAGUUCAGAAAUGUGCUUUAGAGUUGGAGAGGUUCUCUCCAGAUGAAUACAGGCCAUGGCCUUGAAGGAUGAGGAAAAGCAGCUUAAACAGGGGGACUCUCUGGAGAAAUAAAAUUUGGCUUGGGAUUGUUUAUGUUAGCA